GAAGAUUAUAAAUUAAUUUAAAACUUUUAACAUAUACAACAUAAUUCAUCAAAAAACUUCCAAAUAUAGAUUCACGGGUGUAUUUGUGUAACUUUGACAGGGGGCAAUGUUAUUUAUACAAUAAUGAUCGUGGUAGUGUGUCACAUGAUUCUUGGGAGGCCUGUAUAAUUGAUAUUCCCAUUGUUUAUCCAAAGAUGUUGGUAAUGGAUAAUUAGUGCUGACCAAAAGUGACUGAGGCAUAUAAAAUGGAUUAGAUCUCUAAUUAUUUCAUGGUAUUAUCAGAUUUUAAAUUAGACUAGACACAAUUUAAUGUUAUGAAUAUCUAGUUUUGCAAAUAAGUGGUGCAAAUAAUAUGCAUCCCACAGUUUCAUGGCACCUGUAUUAAUGUGGUGACCCGGUGGACUAUAAACAUAAUAACCAUGUGUAGCUGUAGCCCGUUGUUGUUCAUGUAAUGUUGAUUGGAUGCAAUAAUGUGCAGGGAUCAAAAGCAAGAAGGAAAAAUGGGGCUGACAUUCACAAAGCUGUUUAGCAGGCUUUUUGCUAAGAAGGAGAUGCGUAUUCUGAUGGUUGGUCUGGAUGCUGCUGGUAAGACCACCAUUCUGUACAAGCUCAAGCUUGGAGAGAUUGUCACUACCAUUCCUACAAUNNUUUUUUUUUUUUUUUUGUAUA
This 669-nucleotide long non-coding RNA is filed under the name Olea europaea subsp. europaea. Lineage: Eukaryota; Viridiplantae; Streptophyta; Magnoliopsida; Lamiales; Oleaceae. The record is from RNAcentral.